CCUACGGGUGGCUGCAGUCGAGAAUCUUCGGCAAUGGGCGCAAGCCUGACCGAGCGACGCCGCGUGUGGGAUGAAGGCCUUCGGGUUGUAAACCACUGUUAGAGGGGAUGAAAUGCAGGUGGGUUCUCCCACCUGUUUGACAUAGCCUCAGAGGAAGGACGGGCUAAGUUCGUGCCAGCAGCCGCGGUAAGACGAACCGUCCAAACGUUAUUCGGAAUCACUGGGCUUAAAGGGUGCGUAGGCGGCGCGGAAAGUUGGGUGUGAAAUACCUCGGCUUAACCGAGGAACUGCGCCCAAAACUACCGUGCUUGAGGAAGAUAGAGGUGAGCGGAACUUAGGGUGGAGCGGUGAAAUGCGUUGAUAUCCUAAGGAACACCGGUGGCGAAAGCGGCUCACUGGAUCUUUUCUGACGCUGAGGCACGAAAGCUAGGGUAGCGAAC
Molecule: ribosomal RNA, 440 nt
Filed under: uncultured bacterium
Lineage: Bacteria
Description: bacterial SSU rRNA
Rfam family: Bacterial small subunit ribosomal RNA
Source: RNAcentral